RNAcentral lists this ribosomal RNA (466 nucleotides) under Veillonella parvula. RNAcentral's name for it is "bacterial SSU rRNA". It matches the Rfam family "Bacterial small subunit ribosomal RNA", at positions 28 to 470 of the family's 1533-position model. Lineage: Bacteria; Bacillati; Bacillota; Negativicutes; Veillonellales; Veillonellaceae. The record is from RNAcentral.
GACGAACGCUGGCGGCGUGCUUAACACAUGCAAGUCGAACGAAGAGCGACGGAAGCUUGCUUCUAUCAAUCUUAGUGGCGAACGGGUGAGUAACGCGUAAUCAACCUGCCCUUCAGAGGGGGACAACAGUUGGAAACGACUGCUAAUACCGCAUACGAUCUAACCUCGGCAUCGAGGAAAGAUGAAAGGUGGCCUCUAUGUAUAAGCUAUCACUGAAGGAGGGGAUUGCGUCUGAUUAGCUAGUUGGAGGGGUAACGGCCCACCAAGGCGAUGAUCAGUAGCCGGUCUGAGAGGAUGAACGGCCACAUUGGGACUGAGACACGGCCCAGACUCCUACGGGAGGCAGCAGUGGGGAAUCUUCCGCAAUGGACGAAAGUCUGACGGAGCAACGCCGCGUGAGUGAUGACGGCCUUCGGGUUGUAAAGCUCUGUUAAUCGGGACGAAAGGUCUUCUUGCGAAUAGUUAG